GAUGAACGCUGGCGGCGUGCCUAAUACAUGCGAGUCGAGCGAACAGACGAGGAGCUUGCUCCUCUGACGUUAGCGGCGGACGGGUGAGUAACACGUGGAUAACCUACCUAUAAGACUGGGAUAACUUCGGGAAACCGGAGCUAAUACCGGAUAAUAUAUUGAACCGCAUGGUUCAAUAGUGAAAGACGGUUUUGCUGUCACUUAUAGAUGGAUCCGCGCCGCAUUAGCUAGUUGGUAAGGUAACGGCUUACCAAGGCAACGAUGCGUAGCCGACCUGAGAGGGUGCUCGGCCACACUGGAACUGAGACACGGUCCAGACUCCUACGGGAGGCCGCAGUAGGGAAUCUUCCGCAAUGGGCGAAAGCCUGACGGAGCAACGCCGCGUGAGUGAUGAAGGUCUUCGGAUCGUAAAACUCUGUUAUUAGGGAAGAACAAAUGUGUAAGUAACUAUGCACGUCUUGACGGUACCUAAUCAGAACGCCACCUCUAACUACG
RNAcentral lists this ribosomal RNA (495 nucleotides) under uncultured bacterium. RNAcentral describes it as "partial 16S ribosomal RNA". It matches the Rfam family "Bacterial small subunit ribosomal RNA", at positions 28 to 505 of the family's 1533-position model. The record is from RNAcentral.